AAGACCUGUUCUUUCGCUGUUCUGUUUUUCUGAUUGGGUGUGGUGUGUUAUAUCAUCUAAGCGCGUUUAAUAGUGAUUGGUGAACAACUCAUCAUAAGUGGCGAAGGAGCCAAUCAGAGAAGAGUGCGUUGUAAAAUUGAUGAUAAAUGCAACAGUAACCAUACGUAACAUAUUUUCAUAACAGCAGCUGGCGAACACAAGUCUUGGAUAGUCAGGGCGCAUCCGGAUAGACAACAGUCUCAUUCAUAACCUGUAAACGCUUGUGUUUCAAGUCAAACUGCUGUAUAGGAAACGGAAUACAGUAGAAACUGUACAUUCUGUACAUCAUGGUAUGACUUCUGAUAAAAGCCAGCGUCUAUGUGGUGCGCAAGAUCAGAGCUUCUCUUAAAGAGGGAGAGCAAACAGAACAACCUGUUCUCACACCAUGUAGCCUGGCUAAAGGU
Molecule: long non-coding RNA, 443 nt
Organism: Megalobrama amblycephala (Wuchang bream)
Lineage: Eukaryota; Metazoa; Chordata; Actinopteri; Cypriniformes; Xenocyprididae
Exons: 2
Source: RefSeq, a predicted model, not a curated record